CCUGAUGACCAUAGCAGUCUGGAACCACUCCUUCCCAUCCCGAACAGGACAGUGAAACAGUCUCGCGCCAAUGAUAGUGCGGUCUCCCGUGUGAAAGUAGGUCAUCGUCAGGC
Lampropedia hyalina DSM 16112 is the source of this 113-nucleotide non-coding RNA. The record is from Rfam. Lineage: Bacteria; Pseudomonadati; Pseudomonadota; Betaproteobacteria; Burkholderiales; Comamonadaceae.